This 483-nucleotide ribosomal RNA is filed under the name uncultured bacterium. RNAcentral describes it as "partial 16S ribosomal RNA". It matches the Rfam family "Bacterial small subunit ribosomal RNA", at positions 30 to 507 of the family's 1533-position model. The record is from RNAcentral.
UUGCACGCUGGCGGCAGGCCUCACACAUGCAAGUCGCGCGGAUGAAGGGAGCUUGCUCCUGGAUUCAGCGGCGGACGGGUGAGUAAUGCCUAGGAAUCUGCCUGGUAGUGGGGGAUAACGUCCGGAAACGGGCGCUAAUACCGCAUACGUCCUGAGGGAGAAAGUGGGGGAUCUUCGGACCUCACGCUAUCAGAUGAGCCUAGGUCGGAUUAGCUAGUUGGUGGGGUAAAGGCCUACCAAGGCGACGAUCCGUAACUGGCCUGAGAGGAUGAUCAGUCACACUGGAACUGAGACACGGUCCAGACUCCUACGGGAGGCAGCAGUGGGGAAUAUUGGACAAUGGGCGAAAGCCUGAUCCAGCCAUGCCGCGUGUGUGAAGAAGGUCUUCGGAUUGUAAAGCACUUUAAGUUGGGAGGAAGGGCAGUAAGUUAAUACCUUGCUGUUUUGACGUUACCAACAGAAUAAGCACCGGCUAACUUCGUG